AACGAACGCUGGCGGCAGGCUUAACACAUGCCAGUCGAACGCCCCGCAAGGGGAGUGGCGCACGGGUGAGUAACGCGUGGAUAUCUGCCUUUUGGUUCGGAAUAACCCCGGGAAACUGGGGCUAAUACCGGAUGGUUCCUACGGGAUAAAGAUUUAUCGCCAAAAGAUGAGUCCGCGUACGAUUAGCUAGUUGGUGAGGUAAUGGCUCACCAAGGCGACGAUCGUUAGCUGGUCUGAGAGGACGAUCAGCCACACUGGGACUGAGACACGGCCCAGACUCCUACGGGAGGCAGCAGUGGGGAAUAUUGGACAAUGGGGGCAACCCUGAUCCAGCCAUGCCGCGUGAGUGAUGAAGGCCUUCGGGUUGUAAAGCUCUUUUGGCGGGGACGAUGAUGACGGUACCCGCAGAAUAAGCCCCGGCUAACUUCGUG
Molecule: ribosomal RNA, 431 nt
Filed under: uncultured bacterium
Lineage: Bacteria
Description: partial 16S ribosomal RNA
Rfam family: Bacterial small subunit ribosomal RNA
Source: RNAcentral